RNA transcript from Zingiber officinale, 7080 nucleotides. It is a transcript of the gene named lysine-specific demethylase 5B-like, with no coding region annotated. The record is from RefSeq and is a predicted model, not a curated record. Lineage: Eukaryota; Viridiplantae; Streptophyta; Magnoliopsida; Zingiberales; Zingiberaceae. The transcript is spliced from 34 exons.
AUUCGCACCUUCUGCUGAACCCUACUCGGUCGAACCACUGCCCCACUCACGAUGGGGAAAGGGCGACCACGCGCCGUCGAGAAGGGUGCCCUAGGGCACGCCCCCGGCGGCGGCGCCACCGCCUCCUCCGUCUCCACCUCUUCUUCCGGCGUCGUCGAGGCACCUGUCUUCUACCCCACCGAGGAGGAAUUCGUCGACCCCUUGGCCUUCAUCUACAAAAUCCGGCCCCAGGCCGAACCCUUCGGCAUCUGUCGUAUCGUCCCUCCUCGGUCCUGGAAUCCCCCGUUCGCGCUCGACCGCUCCGCCUUCACCUUCCCCACCAAGUCGCAGGACAUCCAUCUCCUCCAAGCUCGGCCUCCUUCUUGCGACCCCGACACAUUCCGCCUCGAGUACGGACGCUUCCUCGAGUCCCACCUCGGCAAACGGUCAACCCGUCGGGUCGUAUUCGAGGGCGAGGAUCUCGAUCUCUGCCGUCUUUUUAAUGCCGUUAAGCGCUAUGGUGGCUAUGAUAAGGUCUGCGCGGGUAAGCUCUGGGCUGACGUCGCACGCUUCAUUCGUCCGGCAUCUAAGAUUUCCGAGUGCGCUAAGCACGUCCUCUGUCAGAUCUAUCGUGAACACCUGUACGACUUCGAGGAAUACAACAGGCGAUUGAAUCGGGGAAUUAGGAAGAACAGGAGUUCUAAGCCGUCCAUGAUGCGGAAGACUUUAGCCCAGCAGGAGGCCCCUGGUCGGAAGAGAAGAAAGAGAGGUGUGGGUUGUGAUAGAUUGAAGGAGGUAGUCAAAAAAGAGGAAUUGGAUCAGAUCUGUGAGCAAUGCAAGAGUGGUUUGCAUGGCGAAGUCAUGCUUCUAUGUGAUCGGUGUGAUAAAGGCUGGCAUUUGUACUGUUUGUCCCCGCCUCUACAAAGCAUUCCCCCGGGUAAUUGGUACUGCUUGGAGUGUGUAAAUUCUGAUAAGGACAGCUUUGGUUUUGUUCCUGGGAAGCUGUACACAGUCGAUGCUUUCAGACUGAUAGAUGAUCGAAUGAAGAGGAAGUGGUUUGGGCAGACAAUUGUCAGUCGUGUUCAGAUGGAAAAACAAUUUUGGGAGAUCGUUGAAGGUAGAGGAGGGGAAUUAGAGGUCAUGUAUGGCAAUGAUUUGGAUACUUCACUAUAUGGGAGUGGAUUUCCUCGACCAAAUGACCCCAUUCCAUCAUCAGUAGAUCCAAGUAUCUGGAACCAAUAUAUAUCCAGCCCAUGGAACCUCAAUAACCUACCAAAGUUGCCAGGUUCUAUGCUUCGCUCUGUCCGUGAGAAUAUUGCUGGCGUUAUGGUUCCUUGGCUCUACAUUGGGAUGCUUUUUUCAUCCUUUUGUUGGCAUGUUGAAGAUCAUUGUUUUUACUCAAUUAAUUACCUUCAUUGGGGAGAACCAAAGUGUUGGUAUGGUGUACCUGGUAAUAAAGCAAAUGCUUUUGAAGAGGUAAUGCGUAAAGCUCUUCCAGAUCUCUUUGAGGCUCAACCAGAUUUACUUUUCCAGCUUGUCACGAUGCUUAAUCCCUCCAUCUUGCUAGAAAAUGGUGUGCAAGUUUAUGGUGUUUUGCAGGAGCCUGGAAACUUUGUCAUUACUUUCCCGAGAUCUUUUCAUGGCGGUUUCAAUUUUGGUUUAAAUUGUGCUGAGGCUGUCAAUUUUGCUCCUGCUGAUUGGCUGCCUCAUGGUGGCAUUGGAUCAGAAUUAUAUCGGUUGUAUCACAAGGCUGCUGUUUUAUCCCAUGAAGAACUUCUUUGUGUUGCCAUCAAGAAUGGUUGCGAUGCCAAAGCUUUUUCCUAUCUGAAGGAAGAAAUGCAGAGGGUAUUUGAUAGAGAAAAGAAAUGUAGGGAGGAACUAUGGGUCAAUGGCAUUGUCAGGUCAUUGCAGAUGCAUCCAAAGAAACAUCCCCAUUAUGUGGGUACUGAGGAGGACCCUACUUGCGUUAUUUGUCGACAGUAUUUGUAUCUAUCGGCUGUUUCAUGCAGCUGUAGGCCAUCUACCAUUGUCUGUCUGGAGCACUGGGAACAUCUUUGUGAAUGCAAACCCAACAAACUUCGUCUCCUUUAUCGUCAUACUCUUGCGGAGCUUGGUGACUUGAUUGAUAUGGUGUCUCCUAACUCUAAACUCUCAAAUGUGGAUGAGAUCUUACCGUUAUCGGAUGGUUUUUCUCAAGGAUGUAGAUCUUAUAAUGGCAGAUCAAGUGCCAUGACGAAGAAGGUGAAAGGCUGUGAAAUUUCCUAUUUACAACUUGCUAAAGAUUGGUUUUCUCAAUCCUGCCAUAUUUUGGAGAGUCCAUUUUCAGAUUCCACUUAUAAUAGUUCUCUAACUGAAGCUGAACAAUUUCUUUGGGCUGAUCAUGACAUGGAUCCUGUGCGUGAUAUGACAUUUAAGCUAAUUGAGGCUCAAAGAUGGGCACGUAAUUUAAAUAGUUGUCUGUUUAAAGUAGAGAGCUCGGAACAAUCUCCACAUAAUCAUUAUGAGAAAGUAACAUUAUCUGAGUUAGAGAAUCUGCUAAGCUUUCAAAUCCUGCCUUGCUGCCUGCCUGAUUUCCAUAAAUUGAAGGCAGUUGUAGGGGAUGCAGAGACUCUAGUUACUGAAAUACAACACGCCCUUUCAUCUUCCUCAACUAUUGGCACAUUACAAAUGCUAUACUCUAAGGCCACCAAUUUUCCAGUUAGUCUCCAAAUUGUUGAGAGAUUAUCCCUUGAAAUUUCAUCUGCAAAGAAUUGGUUGAAAAAUGCUCAUUUGUGCCUCAAGGAGAAAAGGCCUGAUGUUAUCAAUAUUGAUAUCCUAAACAAGAUAAAGUUGGAGAUGUUAGAGCUUCAUGUUAACUUUCCAGAAAUGGAUAUGCUUUCAAGAUUGUGUGAUGAGGUUGAAUCAUGGAGAAUCAGAUGUAAAGAUAUGUUGAGAGGUUACAUUAGAAUGAAGGAACUCAAAGAUUUCCUUGUGUCUACUGAUCAUCUGACGGUCAGCAUUCCAGAAUUGGAUCUGCUAAGGAAAUACAGCUCUGAUGCUCGAUCUUGGGUUUGCCAUCUCCAAGGUGUUCUGCAAAAUCUUGAUAAGCGAGAGGACUAUGGAAACAUUGUUAUAGAACUUUCAUGCAUUUUGAAGUCUGGCUACUUGUUGCAUGUGCAAGUUGAUGAGUUGCCUCUUGUUGUUGCUGAGCUAAAAAGGUCCAAGUGUAGAAAAAAUGCUUCAAAGGCACUUUCUACUCCUAUGCCUUUAGGUUUCCUUCAGCGUGUUUUAUAUGAAGCUUCUAAGUUAAAAAUUGAGAAUGAACAACUGUUUGUGAAUGUUUCUAAGAUGCUCACGGAAGCCAUUGCUUGGGAAGAAGGAGCUAAAGCUGCCCUUGAACAUGUAGCACACAUCUCUGUGUUUGAAAAGAUUUUAACGGAUUCUGAUGCAAUAUUAGUUGGUCUUCCAUCUCUUCCGAACAUCAGAGAUGCAGUGUCAAUGGCUAAGAUGUGGAUAAGUAGAUCUCUACUAUUUUUAAAACAAACUCCAAAUGCGAAUACAUCACAACCUUUGCUUAGAGUUGAUGAUUUGAAGGAUUUGGUUGCUCAAACUAAACAUUUGAAAGUCACUAUGGUUGCUACUGACAAACUUCAGAGUAUUGUUGCAGAAGUUGAAGGAUGGGAGCAAGAUAGUUGUUGUUUAUUAGAAAAUGUCAAAUCCCUGUUUGACACAUGCCAUUCUAGUUCAACUAUUGACAAUCACCUUUCGACAAAGAUCGAGGAACUACUCAGAAAAAUUGAAUCUUCCAUAGAAGUUGGGGACCACUUGUGUUAUAAUUUUAAGGACUUACCUAAUCUGAAAGUUGCAGCUGUGUCUUUGCGAUGGUGCUUGACAGCAAUCUCUUUCUGCUAUAGGAUUCCAUUGCUAAAGGAUGUUGAUAGAUUACUUGAUGAAGCAAACCAUCUUCCUGUAAUCUUCUUGGAUAGCCAUCUUGUGCAACUGUUGAAUGUGGGAGUUAACUGGCUUAGGAAGGCACUUUGCACACUCCCAGAACUUAACAGCACUAAAAGGUGCAAGUUGAAGGAUGUUGAACUUGUUUUAGAUGAAAUUCAGGAAGUUAUUGUUCCAUAUCCAAUGAUGGUUACUCAGAUUCAAAAUGCCAUCCGAAAGCAUGAGUCCUGGGUGGGCCAAGUUCAUGCUUAUUUUGCACUUCCAAAAGGACAGCCAUGGCCUUCAUUAUUGAAGCUGAAAAAGCAUGGUGAAGCUGCUGCUUUUAUGUGUUCUGAGCUUGAUAAAGUAGCUUCUGAAGUAGGAAAAGUUGAGAAUUGGUUGUCCCAGUGCCAUGCUAUUUUGGAGCCAGUAUUUGGUAACUUGGGCUCCUUAACUUCCAGGCUAGUGCAAAUCAAAGAUUCACUUGAUAGGGCUUUGCGUAUAUAUCAUGAUUCAAAGGGACAAGGAGCCAGAGGGUUCUGUGUCUGCUGCCCCAAUUAUGGAGGGAAUGAAGAAGUCUAUACUUGCCUCAUAUGCAAUGAUCAGUACCAUUUUUCAUGUGUUGGACCACCACUUGCUAAUGCUUCUAUGACAAACGAGUAUGCAUGUCCGUUGUGUGUUUAUGUUGAAAAUGGAGCUCUACCAAGAAAUGAGAGCCAAUUGUUGUUUUCCAAAGGAAAUCGACCUGAAGUCAAAUCGUUUUUUGAAUUGGUUUCAGCUGCUUCAGAUAUAUUUGCUAGGAUUGAAGAAUUGAAUUUGGUGGAAAGAAUUGUCGAACGGGCAUGCGAGUGCAAGUCCUUUUUGUCUGAAAUAGUGAAAUCUAUUACUUCUCACUAUGAAAACGAUCUCAGCUCUAUCUCUGAGAAUAUUCUGAUUGCUCUGAAGGCAAUAACUGUGACUGGGAUACAUGAUCCCCAAGGUUGCUGCAAUCUUGAGUCAGUAUUGACAAGAUAUUCUUGGAAAGUAAGAGUCCGGAAGCUUUUAGCAGGAUCAAAGAAACCUGUCCUUUCACAACUUCAGAGGGUUAUGAAAGAGGGUACAGCUAUGGGCAUAACAUCUGAGGAUCACCUCAUGAAGGAAAUUACAGAUAUGAAACAGAUAAGCCUGCAGUGGGUAGAUAUUGCCAAAAAGGUGGCUUCGGAUUCAGGGAAACUUGCACUUAGUGAGGUCUACAAGCUUAUAAUUCAAGGUGAAGAUUUGCCACUUCAUUUUGAAAAGGAAUUGAAGUUAUUGCGAGAAAGAACUUUGCUUUAUUGCAUCUGUCGGAUGCCUAAUGAUCAGAGAGCAAUGAUUGCAUGUGACCAAUGUGAUGAGUGGUACCAUUUUGAAUGCGUUAACUUGCAUGAACCUCCUCCUAAGACCUUUUACUGUCCUGCAUGUCAACCAACUAAUGGAGUAGCUGUAUCUCUUCCGUAUGUGAUAUGCAGUGAAGAGAGAUCAAACAAUGAAGCGGGCCCUAACACACCUGCCUGUCAUAGGGAAUCUAAACAUAUAGGUUCAAGAAUUAAUUAUGGACACUCACAGGAUGCGGUUGAGUUACUUGAUGUUUUAAGAUCUCAUAAUGGUAUUGAUCAGCUAUGGAGAGAAAAUAGAAGGCCUUUCCACAGAACCACUAGGAGACGUGGUAAGAUAGAAUAUCUUGAUAAUUUGAUGCUCACUUUUGAAUUAACAGUGCAACUUUCUGUCCUUUCUGUUCAUUCUUAUGGGUGAUGGUUUAAAAGCAAAAAACAAAAGGUUGUGGCAUCUCUCUCAUAAUAGUGAAGUAUUUUAGUAUGGUUACUUGUACAUUACUGUGCUGCGUCAGGUGCAUAUCCCUUAAAUUAUGAAACUAGUUAUUGGGCCUUUGCCCUUCUUUUAAUUAGUUUAUCAGUAUGACAUAAACAAGUAUGAUGAUCAAUUAACAUGCCAACCAAAAAUUAGGUAUGAACACAUGGCAUGUUGGUGGAUUCUUAUAUCUCAGUCAAUUGUCAUGGGGCUAAAAAUUAAUUGCUAAAAAAUCUAUUUACUACAACCUUUGUUAUUUUAACAAUUAAUUUAUAUCAUGUGUGCCGUUUUGAUUGCAAAGUCAAGCUAUGUGAGCAUGCCAUUUUCCAAAUUCAUGUGAAGUUACAAAGUAGUGCUAAGUUUAUUUAUUAUAAACCUCAAAUCUUAGGCUAUUCUAGGAAUUAACCCAUGUGUCAUUGAUUUCGUGCAUUGCAUUCUGACCGUAAAAAAACUGAGCCAUGAGGACAUGCCAUGUGUCACUUGUCUUGUGGGCUACAAAUUAUUUUCUAAAACAGUAUUUUCUAAAACAGUUUACUCAUUAAAAACGUCAAGCCUUCCCUAUUUACUUCGUAGGAAUGCAAUUGGAGAGGGAGGAGGCACAAAAGGGAAGGGAACGUGGAACAAUAGGAUGAGGGACGCUGGACGGGGUGAGAAGGCUGUUUACUUGACAGGAAGGACAAGUGGAGCCUUAAUUUUCCACUGGUCAGCCUCUUCUAAACUGCUUGCUGAAUAGUCGUUCCUGGCAAACCUGCACACAAUGCUCGUAUGACGCAAGAAAAAGACACUGCAUGAUCACGAGUGUAUCAACCGGACUUGGCCACUGUUAAACAGGUCUCCAUUUGACUGUGCCGUUAAAGUCAAGUUUCAAAUGAAAACUUUUCUAGAUAAUUGUUCAGGCUCCAUCACUGUAAGAAAGGGAUGGGACUAAAGGCACACUGUGAGCAGUCCUUUCUGUAGUGGUGCAUGCUGGAAUGGCUGGGGUGGGAGGUCCACUUGCACUUGGCCACGGAAACAUGGUGACAUCAGAUUGAUGUGAGCUUGGGGGGUGUGGGAUUUUGAACGCUACUUUGUGGUGCCCUUCGCUCCUAGCACUUCACAUGCCCCUGUCUGCCGAGAAGAAGACUUCGACUACCGAGUGCAUGCAAUUUCCACAUGAUUUGCAAGAUGUUUCCGUUGCAUGCGAACCAUGUAGACCCCUUAGCUUGUUUUAACCUUCAAAUUCCUUUUUGACCACGACUUCAAGUUUCAUUAUAUUUAUUGUUAUAAAUUUGUGAUGUGCUCCCCACACGAAGUAUUCUCCGAUUGUCUUGAAGCUAUGGGAAGGCAAUGUAAUUUAUUUAUUCAAUUUAAUGUAAUUUCACAGUUCAA